CUAAGAAUUUGAUCCUGGUUCAGGGUGAAUGCUAGCGGUGUGGAGGGAUGACGGCCCUCGGGUUGUAAACCUCGUUAUAAGCACCGGCUAACUACGUGCCAGCAGCAGCGGUCACACGUAGGGUGCAAGCAUUACCCGGUCUUACUGGGCGUAAAGAGUUCUGUAGGCGGCUAGAUAAGUUGGUGGUCAAAUACCUCGGCUCAACCGAGGAAAGGCUGUCAAUACUGUUUGGCUAGGAGGCGACUAGGGGGUAGCGGAACGUAUGGUGUAGCAGUAAAAUGCGUUGAUAUCAUACGGAACACCAAGGGGGAAGCCAGCUACCUGGGGUUGUCCUGACGCUGAGAGACGAAAGCGUGGGGAGCGAAACGGAUUAGAUACCCGUGUAGUCCACGCUGUAAACCAUGCCUGCUAGAUGCCAGAUUUUUUUGGUGUCGAAGCUAACGCGUUAAGCAGGCCGCCUGGGGAGUACGGUCGCAAGAUUAAAACUCAAAGGAAUUGGCGGGGACCCGCACAAGCGGUGGAGCAUGCUCUUCAAUUGGCUGAUAACCCAAGAACCUUACCAAGGCUUGACAUGUAUGAAGUAGUGGACCGAAAGGCGAACGACCGGUAUCCAACCCGGAGCUUACACAGGUGUUGCAUGGCUGUCGUCAGCUCGUACCGUGAGGCGUACCCUUAAGUGGGUUAACGAGCGCAACCCCUACUGCUAGUUGUAUCACUCUAGCGGAACUGCCGCGGCAACGCGGAGGAAGGUGGGGAUGACGUCAAGUCGGUAUUGCCCUUACGCCUUGGGCUAGAAGCAUGCUACAAUGGCCGGCAUAAAGGGUCGCAAAGCCGCGAGGCUGAGCUAAUCCCAAAAAACCGGUCCCAGUUCGGAUUGGAGUCUGCAAUUCGACUCCAUGAAGCCGGAUCUUGCACACACUGCCCGUCACGCCAGCAAAGCUGGGGCCACCCGAAGUCUCACAUUAGUGGGCUCACGGUGGAAUCAGUGAUGAGGGUGAAGUCGUAAAUGUAUUUGUUGCGACUUGUGGGAGUAAUCUCACAAAAAAAAUUCGGCUAAUAACGGUGAAGGCCGCCAUCGGCGGUUAAUACCGUGGGAAGUUUUCUAACUUUAUUAGAAAACCCCGUAUCGACUAAUUCUUCGAACAAGGUAGCCGUAGGGGAAUCUGCGGCUGGAUCACCUCCUU
RNAcentral lists this ribosomal RNA (1184 nucleotides) under candidate division WWE3 bacterium GW2011_GWE2_43_18. RNAcentral describes it as "bacterial SSU rRNA". The stretch from base 1 to 1042 matches the Rfam family "Bacterial small subunit ribosomal RNA". Lineage: Bacteria; candidate division WWE3. The record is from RNAcentral.